Molecule: ribosomal RNA, 571 nt
Filed under: uncultured bacterium
Lineage: Bacteria
Description: partial 16S ribosomal RNA
Rfam family: Bacterial small subunit ribosomal RNA
Source: RNAcentral
UGGGGAAUUUUGGACAAUGGGCGAAAGCCUGAUCCAGCAAUGCCGCGUGUGUGAAGAAGGCCUUCGGGUUGUAAAGCACUUUUGUCCGGAAAGAAAUCCUCUGGGUUAAUACCUCGGGGGAUGACGGUACCGGAAGAAUAAGCACCGGCUAACUACGUGCCAGCAGCCGCGGUAAUACGUAGGGUGCAAGCGUUAAUCGGAAUUACUGGGCGUAAAGCGUGCGCAGGCGGUCCGCUAAGACAGAUGUGAAAUCCCCGGGCUUAACCUGGGAACUGCAUUUGUGACUGGCGGGCUAGAGUAUGGCAGAGGGGGGUAGAAUUCCACGUGUAGCAGUGAAAUGCGUAGAGAUGUGGAGGAAUACCGAUGGCGAAGGCAGCCCCCUGGGCCAAUACUGACGCUCAUGCACGAAAGCGUGGGGAGCAAACAGGAUUAGAUACCCUGGUAGUCCACGCCCUAAACGAUGUCAACUAGUUGUCGGGUCUUCAUUGACUUGGUAACGUAGCUAACGCGUGAAGUUGACCGCCUGGGGAGUACGGUCGCAAGAUUAAAACUCAAAUGAAUUGACGGGGUC